RNAcentral lists this small RNA (28 nucleotides) under Bombyx mori (domestic silkworm). RNAcentral describes it as "ovarian small RNA-15984". The record is from RNAcentral. Lineage: Eukaryota; Metazoa; Arthropoda; Insecta; Lepidoptera; Bombycidae.
GAGUAUCGUAGCCACGACGCGCGGCAGC